GAAAUCCCAGAAAAUUCCACCGCUCUUCCUGCUCUAGGCGGUCUGCCGCGCCGCUGUCACCAUUUCCAGAAUCCGGUGAGAUGAGGGGCGCCGCUUCUUCCUCCGGUCACCACCACGUCCUCUUCCUCAAAAUCGUCGACGCCGUCCUCACCACCCAGUUCGCGCCGCCUCCACCAACCAAACCAACCGGAUUUGGAAGGAAAAUGGUGUUCAUUAGAAUACCCGGUGCUUAUAACAAUAAGUCAGAUAUGAUUUAAGACUAGCGGAGGGUUUUUUCGGGUUUAACUUUCGGUGGAGUAUUGUGGAGACAAGCUGAAAAAGAGUUCAAGGUCGAGGUGGAAGCAAUUGGACAUGUUAGACACAAGAAUCUUGCCAGGUUGCUCGGUUACUGUGUCGAAGGAGCCUACAGGUAUCAUAAAUGAAUCUAAGUUGCAAGUUAUGUUGCUCCCGAAUAUGCUUGCACUGGUAUGCUGAACGAGAAGAGUGAUGUGGAAUAUUGAUCAUGGAGAACGAGAAUAUGAUUUGGAAUAUUGAUCAUGGAGAUCAUCUCCGGUUGAUUAUUCCCAGCCACAGGGAGAGGUUAAUCUUGUUGAAUGGCUGAAGAUGAUGGUUGGAAACAGGAAAUCUGAGGAAGUAGCAGAUCCCAAGUUGUCUGAACGGCCUACCUCCAAAGCGCUGAUGCGCACCUGCUCUUGGUAGCCCUUCGAUGCGUUGAUCCUGAUGCCCAGAAACGGCCCAAGAUGGGACAAGUCAUACACAUUAUGGAAUCAGAAGACUUCCAAUCUCGCGAGGAGCGACGAAUUGGUCGGAAGUCUUCCAAUUCGAUUGGGGAACAUAGUCAUCGAGGUAUGGUCAUUAAACAAAGCAAUGAAGACAUCUCUGAUACUAGUGAAGGAGAAGGCAAUAGAAGUUAUAGAUAUAGAGAAAUAGUUGUAUAAUCAAAUAUGGAUGCUACUGUUUCUCAAUAUUUUCAUCUGCUUAGUUAUUCAUUCCAUCUAAAUUCAGGUAUAUUCAUCACAAUUUUUCCUCCAAUAUAGUUGCAUAAAUUAUUCAGGUAUAGUUGCCGACACAAUAAAUUAUAUUCAACAAAUCAGUAAAAUAUGUUCACCAAAAUUAAUAAAUUAUUCAUUGCAAAAAUUGAGUUAUGUUCAUCUAGAAAAUGAGAUUUGUUCAGUAAAGUUCAAAGGC
Molecule: long non-coding RNA, 1188 nt
Organism: Salvia miltiorrhiza (redroot sage)
Lineage: Eukaryota; Viridiplantae; Streptophyta; Magnoliopsida; Lamiales; Lamiaceae
Exons: 4
Source: RefSeq, a predicted model, not a curated record